Molecule: long non-coding RNA, 267 nt
Filed under: Spirodela polyrhiza (greater duckweed)
Lineage: Eukaryota; Viridiplantae; Streptophyta; Magnoliopsida; Alismatales; Araceae
Description: long non-coding RNA (SPOL_LNC000981)
Source: RNAcentral
CCUUCGUCAGAUGGUGUGGAAUGAUUCACCCAGUUUUUCUUUUCUUGUUCUGAGAAUGUUCGUAAUCUACGACGAUUCAAAGAUCGGGACCACCGGGGGCAGUCGAUCCGUCGACCAGAUGGUGGCCUCGGUUUUCCGCUGCCUUGCCGCCGACGCCAGCCGGUGGCCCGCCAUAUUCUCGCGAUACGAGAAGUAGGUAAUCACGGCGGUGCGGCGAGAGAAGGUCCAGCCGAGGGGGGGCGGCACAUCGGAUACCGCUCCAGGAAG